UGGGGAAUUUUGGACAAUGGGCGCAAGCCUGAUCCAGCAAUGCCGCGUGCAGGAUGAAGGCCUUCGGGUUGUAAACUGCUUUUGUACGGAGCGAAAAGGUCUGCCCUAAUACGGUGGGCUCAUGACGGUACCGUAAGAAUAAGCACCGGCUAACUACGUGCCAGCAGCCGCGGUAAUACGGAGGAUCCAAGCGUUAUCCGGAAUCAUUGGGUUUAAAGGGUCCGUAGGCGGUUUAGUAAGUCAGUGGUGAAAGCCCAUCGCUCAACGAUGGAACGGCCAUUGAUACUGCUAGACUUGAAUUAUUAGGAAGUAACUAGAAUAUGUAGUGUAGCAGUGAAAUGCGUAGAUAUGCGGAGGAACACCGAUGGCGAAGGCAAUCCCCUGGGCCUGUACUGACGCUCAUACACGAAAGCGUGGGGAGCAAACA
This 427-nucleotide ribosomal RNA is filed under the name uncultured bacterium. Its description in RNAcentral is "bacterial SSU rRNA". It matches the Rfam family "Bacterial small subunit ribosomal RNA", at positions 355 to 774 of the family's 1533-position model. The record is from RNAcentral.